AAGCAUAUCAAUAAGCGGAGGAAAAGAAACCAACAGGGAUUGCCUUAGUAACGGCGAGUGAAGCGGCAACAGCUCAAAUUUGAAAUCUGGCCCUUGGGUCCGAAUUGUAAUUUGUAGAGGAUGAUUUUGGUGCGGUAUCUUCCGAGUUCCUUGGAACAGGACGCCUUAGAGGGUGAGAGCCCCGUACGGUUGAAUGCCUAGCCUCUGUAAAUCUCCUUCGACGAGUCGAGUAGUUUGGGAAUGCUGCUCUAAAUGGGAGGUAAAUUUCUUCUAAAGCUAAAUAUUGGCCAGAGACCGAUAGCGCACAAGUAGAGUGAUCGAAAGAUGAAAAGCACUUUGAAAAGAGGGUUAAAUAGCACGUGAAAUUGUUGAAAGGGAAGGAUUUGUGACCAGACUUUUUCUGGGCGGAUCAUCCGGGGUUCUCUCCGGUGCACUUCGCCCAGUAAAGGCCAGCAUCGGUUUUCGGCGUGGGAUAAAAGCAGUAGGAAUGUGGCUCUCUACGGGGAGUGUUAUAGCCUAUUGUAUAAUACCGCGCUGGGGACCGAGGUUCGCGCUUCUGCAAGGAUGCUGGCGUAAUGGUUAUCAAUCACCCGUCUUGAAACACGGACCAAGGAGUCGAACAUUUGUGCGAGUGUUUGGGUGUUAAACCCUCACGCGUAAUGAAAGUGAACGGAGGUGAGAGCCCUUACGGGUGCAUCAUCGACCGAUCCUGAAGUUUUCGGAUGGAUUUGAGUAAGAGCAUAACUGUUCGGACCCGAAAGAUGGUGAACUAUGCGUGGAUAGGGUGAAGCCAGAGGAAACUCUGGUGGAGGCUCGCAGCGGUUCUGACGUGCAAAUCGAUCGUCAAAUCUGCGCAUGGGGGCGAAAGACUAAUCGAACCAUCUAGUAGCUGGUUACCGCCG
Molecule: ribosomal RNA, 902 nt
Filed under: Neopestalotiopsis sp.
Lineage: Eukaryota; Fungi; Ascomycota; Sordariomycetes; Amphisphaeriales; Sporocadaceae
Description: eukaryotic LSU rRNA
Rfam family: Eukaryotic large subunit ribosomal RNA
Source: RNAcentral